AGGCAUCUAUUUAAAUAUUACCUAGACGGUCGUAAUUUGUCUGGGCCCUAUAGCCCUGGUGCCGUAAGUUGAUAGAGAAAAACAACCCAGCGAAGGCGCCUUCUCUGAAAACAAUGCUGAGAAUGAGAGCGGCGGAGACAAGCCCCCCAUCGAUCCCAAUAACCCAGCAGCCAACUGGCUUCAUGCGCGCUCCACUCGGAAAAAGCGGUGCCCCUAUACAAAACACCAGACCCUGGAACUGGAGAAAGAGUUUCUGUUCAACAUGUACCUCACCAGGGACCGCAGGUACGAGGUGGCUCGACUGCUCAACCUCACCGAGAGGCAGGUCAAGAUCUGGUUCCAGAACCGCAGGAUGAAAAUGAAGAAAAUCAACAAAGACCGAGCAAAAGACGAGUGAUGCCAUUUGGGCUUAUUUAGAAAAAAGGGUAAGCUAGAGAGAAAAAGAAAGAACUGUCCGUCCCCCUUCCGCCUUCUCCCUUCUCUCACCCCCACCCUAGCCUCCACCAUCCCCGCACAAAGCGGCUCUAAACCUCAGGCCACAUCUUUUCCAAGGCAAACCCUGUUCAGGCUGGCUCGUAGGCCUGCCGCUUUGAUGGAGGAGGUAUUGUAAGCUUUCCAUUUUCUAUAAGAAAAAGGAAAAGUUGAGGGGGGGGCAUUAGUGCUGAUAGCUGUGUGUGUUAGCUUGUAUAUAUA
This 693-nucleotide long non-coding RNA is filed under the name Homo sapiens (human). RNAcentral's name for it is "non-protein coding lnc-HOXA10-1:3". Lineage: Eukaryota; Metazoa; Chordata; Mammalia; Primates; Hominidae. The record is from RNAcentral.